RNAcentral lists this non-coding RNA (297 nucleotides) under Oryctolagus cuniculus (rabbit). Lineage: Eukaryota; Metazoa; Chordata; Mammalia; Lagomorpha; Leporidae. The record is from RNAcentral.
AAUUCCAGCGAGAGGCAGAGGGAGCGAGCGGGCGGCCCGAGCCGAGGGAGCCGAGUAGAACCGCGCUCCGGCGCUCGAGCAAGGGAGAUCCGGAGCCUCCGGGGGCUUCGCCUCCGGCCAGCGCCCCCACCCACCGCGCCGACCACCCGCCCGCGCCCCCGCAGACCUCGCCGAGUCGGCGGAACUUCGCCCACUGCGCCAGGCGGCCGCUUUGCACUGGAACUUACGGCACCGAGCGCGGACGCGGCGCUCCGGACGCGGCGCGGCUGUUCCGCCAGCGGGGGACCCUUCCCCUGU